GGAGGUCCCGAGAUGAGUCGAGAUAUGAAAGGGUGCUGUGAAUCUCUAGCAGCGAGUAGAAUAACCCCUAGCCAAGUCCAGCUCCUGCAGAGUCCUUGCGUGGUGCAUCAGCCUUGAUUCGGGGAGGUCUAACGAUCCGAUCAAUAAGUCCAUAUUCCAAGGCUUCUUGAGCAUUGAAACGUUUCAUGCGGCUCAGGUCCUUGUGGAUCUUUUCAACAGGUUGACCCGUCUUUUUAGCCAAUUCCCCGAACAAGUAGUCUCUAAUUCGAAGGAGCUCAUUUGCCUCAUUCUGA
Molecule: unclassified non-coding RNA, 293 nt
Filed under: Hevea brasiliensis (rubber tree)
Lineage: Eukaryota; Viridiplantae; Streptophyta; Magnoliopsida; Malpighiales; Euphorbiaceae
Source: RNAcentral